UCUGAUGUAGUCGAAUGGUUAUGAUUACGUACUCGUGGAUGGCGUGUCACAGGUUUGAGUCCUGUUGCCAUUGGAA
This is a non-coding RNA of Trichonephila clavipes, 76 nucleotides long. The record is from the annotation of a GenBank genome assembly. Lineage: Eukaryota; Metazoa; Arthropoda; Arachnida; Araneae; Nephilidae.